RNAcentral lists this ribosomal RNA (249 nucleotides) under Triticum aestivum (bread wheat). Its description in RNAcentral is "partial small subunit ribosomal RNA". Lineage: Eukaryota; Viridiplantae; Streptophyta; Magnoliopsida; Poales; Poaceae. The record is from RNAcentral.
AUGGAUAGCGUGACGACCUUCUUCGCAUGGUGGGCGCUCUCUGCCAACACCUCGCCGAGCGGCCUACGCAAAGGGGUCAACUCCAUCGUCGCUCUUACCGCUUGGGCCAUCUGGAAGCACCGCAAUGCCGCCAUCUUCGACGGCCUUCACCCCUCUACCAACGAUCUUGUGCUUUCCAUCCAAGAUGAGGCUCGCCUAUGGGCUAAGGCCGGCGCCAAGGGACUAGCCGCUGUUAUUCCUGUAACCUGA